AUGGAUGUUACUCCACUUUGUGCACCCUUUGUUAACAAAAGAAGGGUCACAUGGCUUGAAUUAGUUAUUGGAAUACCUCAACCCAUUAUUCACUAUCACUUGCCACUACAGAUAGGGGUUCUCGUGUUUCUACUCACCAGCUUGUUCGACUUCCUUCAUAGCAUACAGUGCAGCUUUGAGAAAUUCUGGACUGCUCCUCUAUAUUGUUCAGAACAAUCCCAAUGGUUAAUUGCAUGGGCAUUUUUUAAUGUCUUCAAUGGCAGUCCAGGACAUAUUCUACUGUUGAUGGUCACCAACAUUUUCAAGGCAUUGUGCAAUCCUUGUGUUGUUCCCAUGUCUACUCUCCUUGGCCAGGGAUCAGUUAUAUUGCAAUCGAUUUGCGCACCUCUUCUUUGCACUUGCUGGAGCUCUCUGUUAGGGGAUUCAGGUUCCAUUCUUGCAACUCAAAAUGUGGAACCAAGGGUGCUUCCUAAGGUAACCAGUUCUGCUACCAGCCUAUGUUAUCCAGGAAUCUCUCGUGUGCAUGGCCAGAGUACUCUUCAAUUGGUUGAUUCUCACUUACUCUAUCUCAUGUUAGUUGAUCGAGCGAAAACGAAAGAAAGGGUACAUGUCUUUGAUCCUGAGCCUGGUUUACUCUUUUGUUCAACUAUUGCUGUUUGUACUAGUGAAUGCCAGACCAACUUGAUUCCGGGAGAAAUAGUAGCUGUCAUUUGGUCUUCUCAAAACUAUGAGUACACGGGUGCAAUAUUUUCUGGACACUUGCUCUUAGCACUUGAGUUCUAUAGAGAUAGUUCAGCUGGGUGCUUCUACUCCCAGUUCAUCAUCUUCCUACACACCAGCAAAACUGAGAGUCAUCAACAACCCCAAGGGACCAAUAAAACUACAGUCAUGUUGUUGCAAGAUCUCUGA
RNAcentral lists this ribosomal RNA (909 nucleotides) under Triticum aestivum (bread wheat). Its description in RNAcentral is "partial small subunit ribosomal RNA". Lineage: Eukaryota; Viridiplantae; Streptophyta; Magnoliopsida; Poales; Poaceae. The record is from RNAcentral.